CCACCAAAUCAUAAUCUCUGCAUUACCUUAGAACUCAGAAUACAUAACAAUAGUAAAAGAUCAAAAAUAAGCUAGACAACUUAAUAAUCAAUAAAUAUUUUAACUAGAUAAUUCAAACAAUAUAAAUAAUAAUUUUACAAAAUAAGCAUGUGGAAUUCACUAGUUGAUAAUCAAAACUAGAUAGGCAGCACAUCAAAACAUCAUACAUAUGAAUCCUAUUUUUCACAAAAUUCAAUGUUCAUGAAUCCAAUUUGUUUUAAAACAUCAAGUUCAUGUCAUCAACCAUAAAUUAAAUAAUGACCACAUCAUCCCUAUGUUAGGAUCCUUUUUAUGAUUUCGCACAUUUUCUUGCAAUGAAGACUUUUGAGAUAAAUCAUAUGGCAAUAUUUAACCCCAUAUGUGAGGUCCUUUACCAAUGUUUAGCCUCUAUUAGCAGCUUCCUUGUGUUGCACCACUUUGGCAGUGUACCACCUCUUUUGUGAUGUAUAUCCUUCAAGACUAAUCAAGUACCAAAGUUUAACCCUCAUUGGCAAGUAUCUUAGCCAACAUUUAACUCCACAUUGGCCACAUCCUUUGCAUAGUCGAUUUCAAAGUCUAAAACCAUCUCAAAUCAAAGCUCUUUUUUCAUAAAAUAUGAUCUAUGUUCCAAAUCAAAAAAUUUAUAAACCCAUGUGAUAUUGAAAUCAAUUGAGCAUAAUCCAUAACAAAAUUAAUGCUUUCAAUCACAUAUCAUGUGAUGUUCCAAAACAAGAUAUAUUAAAUAAUAAAGUACGAUGCAUCAAAUAAAUGCAUCAUGAAAAAUAUACUAUGAUUCAAAAUUUAUUAAUACAAUAACUAAUAAUUUGCUUAUUAAUCUAGAAAAAGGGUUAAAUGACUAGCCUCACAAGUACAUUGAUUUAUGCAAGUAAUUAAAACAGUUCCUUCUCAAAAUAUUAAGUUAUGCACCAUAUUGUAACAUCCCCUCGCUAGACAUCUUCUUGUCUAGGCAAUUUUAUCCCAAAUAGUGGGGUGUCCAAUAUUAUAGGUUAGUCUGAUUUGGUAGUCUAAGAAGACCAAUCAUAGAAUAGAGAUCAACAAGAAUAUGGAUAAUACUAAAGAGAUUAAUGAUGGUAGAAUGUAAUAGUGUGCAGCUAGGAUUGGGGAGUGGGAUGAUGCACAGCAUGGCAAUCACAAGUUUAGGACCUUUUUAUAGGGGUUAACCCAAAUUAUAGGGAGAAGGAACCCUCUGAU
RNAcentral lists this long non-coding RNA (1230 nucleotides) under Elaeis guineensis (African oil palm). RNAcentral describes it as "long non-coding RNA (EGUI_LNC008231)". The record is from RNAcentral. Lineage: Eukaryota; Viridiplantae; Streptophyta; Magnoliopsida; Arecales; Arecaceae.